Clostridiales bacterium is the source of this 90-nucleotide non-coding RNA. NCBI's taxonomy places the organism in Bacteria, Bacillati, Bacillota, Clostridia, Eubacteriales. The record is from Rfam.
UACUCAUUAAGAGUGGUGGAGGGAAUAGGCCCUUUGAAACCCGGCAACCCAGACGGUGCCAAAUCCUACAGUUCGACUGAAAGAUGAGUU